Long non-coding RNA from Thunnus maccoyii (southern bluefin tuna), 1421 nucleotides. RefSeq lists it as uncharacterized. Lineage: Eukaryota; Metazoa; Chordata; Actinopteri; Scombriformes; Scombridae. The record is from RefSeq and is a predicted model, not a curated record. The transcript is spliced from 2 exons.
UAUCAAGACACUGAUUUUAUACUAAAAAAACAAAGAAAUUAUUGGCAUAUUUCCCUAAAAUAGAUUGAAACAUGAAAAUUGUCUGAUCUGAGAGAUACUGCGGUUCAUGGUCGGUGUCUUAACCCAUUAAAUCCAGACUGAAACCUAUUAUUUUUGUAACUCACAUGGAUUGUAGGGCUACAAAACCCAUAUAUGUGAUUUAGAGAUGUAAUUACAUGUUGUUGGGUGCAUAAACACAGUGCGCCUGUUAUGUUGAGGGAGACACGUGCUCUCUCUUCUUUCUAACGCAGCAGCACUGCCAACACAGCAGACGUGUGUGAGCAUGUAAACAAACAAAAAACGAGCAUUUCCUGGUAUGAAACACCGCAAAAUAGUCAUUAAAGUCAGAUUAAUGUCCAUGUAACAAUGUUAAUAAGUUGAUCUUUUAAUAGAGGUCCAAUUAUGAGCGAGAGGGAAAUAACUCGAGUUAUUAAUGUUGAGAAACUCCGUCUGAAAAGAUCGCUAGCUGCUAAUCGUUAGCUCUGGCUAAUGGAGCGACCGACACCGUGUCAACACUUUAAAGGAACAUUACGCUGUUUUCUAAUAUUAAAAUUAUUAUGUUUUAAUGGGAUUUGUGUACUUUAAUGUAAUGUACAUGUUAAGUGAAUCAUAAAGGAUAAUUUAGUUCAUUGUCAUGAUUAACAGUACAUUAAAAUGGUGCAUAAAAAUGUAACAAUACAGCAAAUAAUUUAGAUAAAUGUUAAAAUACUAAUUGUUUUGAUAUAAGAAAUUCAUAAUAAGCAAUCUGUUACUGUAAGAAUACAAAUGUUGAUGUUCUAUUAGACAUAUGGAACAGAUACAACACAAAACAACUUUGAACUGAACUCUUGAGCUCUUUAAUCAUAAGGAGUAACCGUGGAUUAAAGGAACAAUCAGUAAACUAAAGAACAUUUCAUUGGAGGUUUUCCACCUUCAUAACGGACUAUUUCUAUUGAUUAUUGAUUAUUUGAUUUAUUUAUUGUAUUUUUUAUUUUCCAUUCUUUUAAAAAUUAAAGUCUUGUAUAAGACAUGUAUAUAUAAGUUUUGAGGCAAUAAAUUGUCACUGUUCAACCAUACGUUAAUUUACUCCCUGAAUUAUUCAAGACAACUGCUCAUUGGACCCAGUUAGAUGUUAAUGUCUAAUUACUACUUUUGGUUAGCACUGAGGAUGCUACAUUUUACUACAAUUUAAUUGUGUAAUUGCUAUCUUGUUCAGACUUUUGUUCCUUAUUUACAGUUUUCUGUACAAAAGCCAUAAAAAUGCUUUUUUUUGUUAUUGUUGUACUUUUUUGUUUGUAAAAUGUUUUGAGACUCUAAGUGAUUUUAAGUCAAAGUAAGUUUACUUAAUUAGCAUUUUUGCCUUCAGUAAUGUCGAUGGAGACAUGAAAGGUAGUGAUGUUGCA